RNAcentral lists this ribosomal RNA (349 nucleotides) under Acutisoma longipes. Its description in RNAcentral is "eukaryotic LSU rRNA". The record is from RNAcentral. Lineage: Eukaryota; Metazoa; Arthropoda; Arachnida; Opiliones; Gonyleptidae.
UGAGGGUCGGACCAAAAACGAAACCUGUCGGCGCCCCACGCGCCCUGCGUGCCCGCUCUCCGCCACCUCGCCCGUAUGUUCGGGAGGUGACCGCGGACGGGUCAAGGUCUGAAGAAAGGCUCGCGCCAUGGCGAGUCCACGAACGGCGAAACGCUGGGCCCCCCCUUCCGCGGGGUCMCGUCGCCGAGCGUUCGCGCUCUAGAGCUCGGGUCGCACCGCACUCGAAGACGCCGUUCCCGGUGUUGCUUCGUGAAGACGGCGGCGACCCGCCGGAGCCGCAAAGACGCUUUAAAAACAAAAACCUGUCGACCUCAGAUCGGACGAGACGACCCGCUGAAUUUAAGCAUAU